AGAAUCAACGCUGGUGGCGUGCCUAACACAUGCAAGUCGAACGCGAAAGCCCCGCAAGGGGCAAGUAGAGUGGCAAACGGGUGAGUAACACGUGGGUGACCUGCCUUCGAGCGGGGGAUAACGGUCCCGAAAGGGACGCUAAUACCGCAUGACAUCCUGCCUUUGAAGAGGUGGAGAUCAAAGCUGGGGAUCGCAAGACCUGGCACUCGAAGAGGGGCCCGCGCCUGAUUAGCUAGUUGGUGGGGUAACGGCUCACCAAGGCGACGAUCAGUA
This 273-nucleotide ribosomal RNA is filed under the name uncultured soil bacterium. RNAcentral describes it as "partial 16S ribosomal RNA". It matches the Rfam family "Bacterial small subunit ribosomal RNA", at positions 26 to 285 of the family's 1533-position model. The record is from RNAcentral.